RNAcentral lists this ribosomal RNA (651 nucleotides) under uncultured bacterium. Its description in RNAcentral is "bacterial SSU rRNA". It matches the Rfam family "Bacterial small subunit ribosomal RNA", at positions 57 to 689 of the family's 1533-position model. The record is from RNAcentral.
GCAAGUCGAGCGGACAGAUGGGAGCUUGCUCCCUGAUGUUAGCGGCGGACGGGUGAGUAACACGUGGGUAACCUGCCUGUAAGACUGGGAUAACUCCGGGAAACCGGGGCUAAUACCGGAUGCUUGAUUGAACCGCAUGGUUCAAUUAUAAAAGGUGGCUUUUACCUACCACUUACAAAUGGACCCGCGGCGCAUUACCUAUUUGGUGAGGUAACGGCUCACCAAGGCAACAAUGCGUACCCAACCUGAAAGGGUGAUCGGCCACACUGGGACUGAAACACGGCCCAAACUCCUACGGGAGGCACCAUUAGGGAAUCUUCCGCAAUGGACAAAAGUCUGACGGACCAACGCCGCGUGAGUGAUGAAGGUUUUCGGAUCGUAAAACUCUGUUGUUAGGGAAAAACAAUUACCGUUCAAAUAGGGCGGUACCUUGACGGUACCUAACCAAAAAGCCACGGCUAACUACUUGCCACCACCCGCGGUAAUACUUAGGUGGCAAGCGUUGUCCGGAAUUAUUGGCCGUAAAGCGCGCGCAGGCGGUUUCUUAAUUCUGAUGUGAAAGCCCCCGGCUCAACCGGGGAGGGUCAUUGAAAACUGGGGAUUUGAUUGCAAAAAAGGAGAGUGGAAUUUCCACGUGUACCGGUGAAAUGC